GCGGACAUGGUGGAAUUGGCAGACACGCUGGUCUUAGGAGCCAGUGCGCAAGCAUCCGGGUUCGAAUCCCGGUGUCCGCACCA
RNAcentral lists this transfer RNA (83 nucleotides) under Oscillospiraceae bacterium. RNAcentral's name for it is "tRNA-Leu". It matches the Rfam family "tRNA". Rfam says of the family: Transfer RNA (tRNA) molecules are approximately 80 nucleotides in length. Their secondary structure includes four short double-helical elements and three loops (D, anti-codon, and T loops). Further hydrogen bonds mediate the characteristic L-shaped molecular structure. tRNAs have two regions of fundamental functional importance: the anti-codon, which is responsible for specific mRNA codon recognition, and the 3' end, to which the tRNAs corresponding amino acid is attached (by aminoacyl-tRNA synthetases). tRNAs cope with the degeneracy of the genetic code in two manners: having more than one tRNA (with a specific anti-codon) for a particular amino acid; and 'wobble' base-pairing, i.e. permitting non-standard base-pairing at the 3rd anti-codon position. The record is from RNAcentral. Lineage: Bacteria; Bacillati; Bacillota; Clostridia; Eubacteriales; Oscillospiraceae.